RNAcentral lists this long non-coding RNA (786 nucleotides) under Macaca mulatta (Rhesus monkey). Its description in RNAcentral is "lncRNA (ENSMMUG00000051570.1)". The record is from RNAcentral. Lineage: Eukaryota; Metazoa; Chordata; Mammalia; Primates; Cercopithecidae.
UUUUUUUUUUACCAAACUUAUGAUAACCUGUGACCAUGACCUUAUUGAUCAAAUUAUAAUGAACUCAACCAGUAUAAAAGAUUCUCUUAGAAUCAGGAAUGCUCCUAAGGGCUUUUCUCUUUGAAACCAUUAUCUUACAAGUUAAAAAUAAGAAUGUCUGAUAGGUCAAUUUUUUAAAACAUACAUAGUCUUGUUUCUCUAUAAUCUCAUGAUACUUCCCACCUCUGGGUCUGAGGAGUUUGGCUUCCUCCCUCUUUCCUGGCUCAUUUUUAAAUGACUUUAAGCUCACCAAGGGCAAGAUUUCUCCAGGAAGUUUUCCCUGAUCUCUGUCCCAGGAGGCCGAGGGGCCUACCUCUGCAUUCCCACAGCAUCCUGAGCUUGUUUUUAUCAUUGUACUUAUAUUUGUUAUGAUUGAGAUGGGCUAUUUACUUGAAUGUUUCCUGCUUCAUUGUGAGACUCCAAAGGAUGGCAACAGUGUCCUCAUCAUCUUCAUAUCCUGUGCACAAUGUCAGAUGGUGAAAAUAUUCAUUGAACUGCAAUGGGAGCAGAAUCAGGACAUUCUGGUAUGCUGCUUUUCUCCAAAGAACACAUUUGGAUAAGUGAUUUAAAAAAAUUAAAAGUAUCAAAAACAACAGCAACAACAGCAACACCCAUUGUGAUGCCAGAUAGAUAAAGCCAGUAAAAAUCAUGGUUACUUCUCCUUUAUCUAUUUCACUUUCUUAUUGUUCUCUCUCUCUCUCAUCGAUCCAUCCAUUAUCUGUCUAUCUGUCUAUCUAUCUAUCUAUC